This 484-nucleotide ribosomal RNA is filed under the name uncultured bacterium. RNAcentral describes it as "partial 16S ribosomal RNA". It matches the Rfam family "Bacterial small subunit ribosomal RNA", at positions 28 to 523 of the family's 1533-position model. The record is from RNAcentral.
GACGAACGCUGGCGGCGUGCUUAACACAUGCAAGUCGAACGAUGAAGCUAGAGCUUGCUCUGGUGAAUUAGUGGCGAACGGGUGAGUAGCACGUGAGUAACCUGCCCCGAACUCUGGGAUAACUGCUGGAAACGGUAGCUAAUACUGGAUACGACCUACGAAGGCAUCUUCUGUAGGUGGAAAGAAUUUCGGUUCGGGAUGGACUCGCGGCCUAUCAGCUUGUUGGUGAGGUAAUGGCUCACCAAGGCGACGACGGGUAGCCGGCCUGAGAGGGUGACCGGCCACACUGGGACUGAGACACGGCCCAGACUCCUACGGGAGGCAGCAGUGGGGAAUAUUGCACAAUGGGCGCAAGCCUGAUGCAGCAACGCCGCGUGAGGGAUGACGGCCUUCGGGUUGUAAACCUCUUUUAGUAGGGAAGAAGCGGAAGUGACGGUACCUGCAGAAAAAGCACCGGCUAACUCCGUGCCAGCCGCCGCAGUAA